This 76-nucleotide transfer RNA is filed under the name Culex quinquefasciatus (southern house mosquito). RNAcentral describes it as "tRNA-Thr". It matches the Rfam family "tRNA". From Rfam's summary of the family: Transfer RNA (tRNA) molecules are approximately 80 nucleotides in length. The record is from RNAcentral. Lineage: Eukaryota; Metazoa; Arthropoda; Insecta; Diptera; Culicidae.
GCAGCAGGCUUGGCCGAAUGGUUAAGCGGUCCGCUUUGUAAGCGGCUGAUCAUAGGUUCGAUCCCCAUCUGCUCCA